AUCUAUGGCCAUACCACCCUAAACGCGGCCGAUCUAGUCUGAUCUUGUGAAGCUAAGCAGGGUCGGGCCUGGUUAGUACUUGGAUGGGAGACCACCUGGGAAUACCAGGUGCUGUAGGCU
This 120-nucleotide ribosomal RNA is filed under the name Papio anubis (olive baboon). The record is from RNAcentral. Lineage: Eukaryota; Metazoa; Chordata; Mammalia; Primates; Cercopithecidae.